UGUCAGCCAGUGGACAGCCGGAGAGACUGUAAGAUAUGCAAGGCACCCAAGCUUUCCUGAAAUGGAUCCAUGUCAUCCGGCUGUGGGAAAAUGCAGAGGAAUACCUCUUUGAGAUCCUCCUCGUCCAUCGUCCGAGGUUUCAUUCUGGUGUAGUCUACC
Callorhinchus milii (elephant shark) is the source of this 159-nucleotide long non-coding RNA. RefSeq lists it as uncharacterized. The transcript is spliced from 3 exons. NCBI's taxonomy places the organism in Eukaryota, Metazoa, Chordata, Chondrichthyes, Chimaeriformes, Callorhinchidae. The record is from RefSeq and is a predicted model, not a curated record.